Penaeus chinensis is the source of this 377-nucleotide long non-coding RNA. RefSeq lists it as uncharacterized. The record is from RefSeq and is a predicted model, not a curated record. The transcript has 3 exons. NCBI's taxonomy places the organism in Eukaryota, Metazoa, Arthropoda, Malacostraca, Decapoda, Penaeidae.
GAGCCAGAAUUCCCCACGGUGUUUGUUUUUUCCAGACCGAAGAUCUACUAUCAGCCUAGCGCAGUACAGCUCCGUCAUUAAUUUGUGUCUUCUGCUAAUGGUUACCAUGUGCUCCAGGAUCUUUAAUUGCUUGCUGAUUCUAAGCAUAGUUUUCGCUCUGCUUUCCCUUGUUAUGGCAAGACAUCAACCAAUACUCUUGGAUUGCACCCAUAAAUGCGCCACGAGACUCGACAAUACAAGGUGUCACGUUAAUUGGAUAUGUAUGUUCACAAAUACCAAUUAAUCGUCCACAGAGAACCAACCUGCGAUGCCUGUAUGGUGAGAUAAAUAAAGAUUAACCAGACUGUCCCUAGUGAUGGUUUUCAUCCUCACUCCAA